Long non-coding RNA from Cryptomeria japonica (Japanese cedar), 1421 nucleotides. RefSeq lists it as uncharacterized. NCBI's taxonomy places the organism in Eukaryota, Viridiplantae, Streptophyta, Pinopsida, Cupressales, Cupressaceae. The transcript is spliced from 3 exons. The record is from RefSeq and is a predicted model, not a curated record.
UCCUUCUUCUUAUGGAACCGCUUACGUUGGCUACAACGAUUCAGGCAUGAAUCUCAUUGAUGCUAUGGUAGGAGAUAUCAACGUUGCAUAUAUUAAACCAAUAGAGGUUAAUUAUGCAAGCUAUAUUGUCUCAUCCUUUUUCUCAAUCAAUGAAAAGAGAGGAUGGGGCGGGGUCGAUGCCCUUGCGGUUAGUAAUCUAGAAUGUGGAAUGGAUAAGACUGGGAGGAGGUGGUGCCAACACCGAGUCGACCGAGAAUCAAUGGGAGAAGCCGGUUUGUGAAGAGGCAGUUAUGUUGGAUUGGACUUGAGCACACACUUAACUAUCUAGUAUAGGAGCAGCAUUUGGUACAACAAAGAGUGGAGUUGGAGUUGCAUCAAUGGGUAUUAUGAGACUAGAACUUAUGAUGAAAUCUAUAGUACCAGUUGUUAUAGCUAGAGUGCUUGGUAUAUAUGGUCUGAUCAUUGCAGUCAUCAUAAGCACAAGAAUCAAUCCCAAGGCUAAAUCAUAUUAUCUGUUUGAUGGAUAUGCCCACUUAUCAUUAGGUCUAACUUGUGGUCUAUUUGGAUGUCUGGAGGAAUGGCAAUUGGUAUUGUAGGUGAUGUUGCUGUCAGGAUUCAACAAUGUAAAUCUGUUUGCAUCAUGAGUGCUACAGGCGACAAAUGGAUGUUUUGUAGACCAGACAGGUUAAAUAAAAGAGGGGGAGUGGGGAAAGGUUUCAUGGGAUCCAAAUUUUCUUUUUGUCUUUUUAAAUCCAACUUUGGAUCCUAUGGCAAGAAGUUCAUUUCAUAUUCAUUUGGGAGCUUGUGUCCUGUAAUCAAAAUCUAGGGAAGCAACAUUUGGAGAGAAAAAACUUUCUUUGCAAAAUAGUGAUUUGUUCGAUGGUUCUUGGGUGGAUAAGAUUAUUUGUGAAGGAAGUGAAGAUGCUCCAAUAGCUAAAUUGAUUUUCAAUCUUCAAGAUGACCAAAUAUUGUUUGAGAUAGUAGAUGCUAAAGAAGGUAGACAUUUAUGGACUCAUGCAACAACUAUCUUUAUUUCUCCCUCAUCUAAAACAUGUGAAAUAGUAGAGCAUGCGAAUCAAGUUGCUUCCAUUGCUAGAUUCAAUAUCUUAAUGACAAAUAUUAUUCAAUUCAGAAAAGCUCUCAGCAACAACAUAAAUCUAAUACAAAGAAGCGAGCAUUUUGUGUAAUCAAAAUUGUGCAUUCUCUACCGGCCAUCAGAUUGCAGACAAUGAAGCCAAAAAUGACCAAGUGUUGUUUGUAGUUGAUUUAUUGUUCUUGUAGAAAUGGUGAUGUAGGAUUUCUCUAGGAAUUGAUCUACAAGGGUUAAUGCUUGUCUAUUGAGGUGUUAUUUUGCCAUGUUUUUACUGACCAUAUGGCACCUGAUUUUAACAAAAAUAAAUGUUUUGAUUAUCUUAAAGAGA